CUGGCUCAGGAUGAACGCUGGCGGCGUGCCUAACACAUGCAAGUCGAACGGACCUAUCAUUUAACAGAGACUUCGGUUGAGGUUGGUUUUAGGUUAGUGGCGGACGGGUGAGUAACGCGUGGAGAACCUGCCCUGUACUGGGGGAUAACAGUGAGAAAUCACUGCUAAUACCGCAUAAGCGCACGAAACCGCAUGGUUUUUGUGUGAAAAACUCCGGUGGUACAGGAUGGCUCCGCGUUGGAUUAGCCAGUUGGCGGGGUAACGGCCCACCAAAGCUACGAUCCAUAGCCGGCCUGAGAGGGUGAACGGCCACAUUGGGACUGAGACACGGCCCAGACUCCUACGGGAGGCAGCAGUGGGGAAUAUUGCACAAUGGGGGAAACCCUGAUGCAGCGACGCCGCGUGAAGGAAGAAGUAUCUCGGUAUGUAAACUUCUAUCAGCAGGGAAGAAAAUGACGGUACCUGACUAAGAAGCCCCGGCUAACUACGUGCCAGCCGCCGC
RNAcentral lists this ribosomal RNA (502 nucleotides) under uncultured bacterium. RNAcentral describes it as "bacterial SSU rRNA". It matches the Rfam family "Bacterial small subunit ribosomal RNA", at positions 19 to 518 of the family's 1533-position model. The record is from RNAcentral.